CCUCCUUGAAAAAGCUAUAAAUAGAAGUGUUCCCCAAGAAUUCUUCAUCAAUGCUUCCUCCGAUUUUAUUUUUCCGUGGGCAAGAGUUUAGCUUGAGAAGAUUACUUAUCGCUUUUGGCCUCUUUCUUUCCUACAAGUUGUUCGGGACCUCCAGCUUUGCACGUCUGUGGAAAACAAUUCCUAUCUCAUUGUAGGAGCGUCAAAAUUGCGAGCCGUUAGAUUUUCCAAAAACUGGACACAAAGUUCUGCAAUAUAUCAAAGGGACAUCGAAAUCACGAGCGGUUUGCUUUGACAGAAGCUAGACUUUCAGAGCUACGAUAUGUAUGAGGAUCACAAUAAGAUUAUCCCUAGAUCUUCCCAGAUAUUUAUCAGAAUUCAAGAAACAAGUUUCGACAUGCCAGUUCAUCCAGCUUUGCAUACUCUCGUCGAAAAAUUCAUAUCUCGAGAUAGGAGUGUCAGAAUUGUAAUCCACUUGAUCCUGUAAAAACCAGGUUUCAGGACCUAUAUUCACUCCAAAGAUUGAAGCUCAGUACACUCUGGAACGACCCGCACAAUUAUUCGAAGUCGACACUACAAUCUGCACAUUGUGCUCAAACAUUGUGACUUGGGCAGCAUAUCCUCGUUGUUUUGCAGCUUCGGCAAGAGAAAGAUUUGGGCGUCCCCAUCCUUGUGACUUUGGCGACAAAGGUAUAUGAAGGACCUCUCUUUGCAGCCUUUGGCGAGAAAGUCCAUGGCGAGUUCUCUGUGGCAGAUCACGUGAAGAAUUACAUGAUCAACGCAAUCUUUCUUUCUUUAUUUUUUUUUUUUUUUUUUUUUUUUUUUUUGUAGGCGAAGAGGUGCAUGGAACUUUCUAUCCAUUGAGUCUUGGCAUGGAUGACUUCUUGAAACUUAACGAAGAAGUUCACGGCUUUGAUGGAAUAAUCUUUGGAGCAUUACUUCCUUCAAGAUUUGGUGGAGAAGUGCAUGUCACAAUGUUCACCAUCUAUAUUAGAGCGCCCUGUCAUUGACACCGGUACUUGCUGCUGAAUUAAAGAUCCAUGUCGUUGAUACCGAUAAAUUAAAUAGGACCAAAAGCUUCGUGCUGUAGUCACCGAGGGCUCCAGAACCUUUUCUCUUUUGCUGCAGAAGCUGUCCAGGAUGGCCAUCUUUGCGAAUCUGUAGAGAAAACAACCAUAUCUUGUUGUAGGAGAAUCAUACUACAAGCCGUUUGAUCCUUUUGAAACUACACUUCAAAUACUUCAUCAUAUCAAAAUUUUGGGGCUAAAUUCCUUCUCUAGCUUCUCAUG
Molecule: long non-coding RNA, 1286 nt
Organism: Nicotiana tabacum (common tobacco)
Lineage: Eukaryota; Viridiplantae; Streptophyta; Magnoliopsida; Solanales; Solanaceae
Source: RefSeq, a predicted model, not a curated record